Molecule: long non-coding RNA, 4401 nt
Organism: Betta splendens (Siamese fighting fish)
Lineage: Eukaryota; Metazoa; Chordata; Actinopteri; Anabantiformes; Osphronemidae
Exons: 2
Source: RefSeq, a predicted model, not a curated record
GGAUAAAUGAAAGUCCUUGGAAACUUCAAACUGUUUCACAGAAACUAAAAAGAAAAUGCAUUUUCAAAGGAUGAGAUUCAAGGUUAAGGUCCUUUUCCUCCAUUUGGCUAAAGAUGUCCUGCAUUGAAGGAUCCACUACAUCACCAUCAAGCAUACAGAUAUCCGGUACAUGCAGACGCAGUCCGGACAGAGUGGAUACAGGCUGAUCUUACAUUUCUUGAACAUUUUUCAUCUGAUUGUGAUAAUUGUCAGGGGAACAAUGAAAACACAGGCUUCAUGUUUCACUGUAAUCCACCUGGAAUGUGCGCUGACAUGUGCUUGAUUGGACCAGACAGUGACUCGUCAACUGAUUUGAUGUUGCGCUGCAGAGGAUCAGGUUCAACUUUUUCAGGACCUACCCCAUAAUUUGGCAUUGCGUGUUUUUCAAACCGUUCGCACUUCCUCACAAUCAUUCUAAUUUAUGUUCCCCAGUCGACUGCAAACACAUCCAAGGCGCACGCGUGCCCUUAUUAUAAAGUCAUGCCUGUGUCUUCUUCCCGAGGAACGACGGCCCAUCCUCACGCUGAGGCUGCAUCUGCAUCUGCAGCUGGACGGAAAGAAGGCCUGUGACUGCGCACACGUGUGUCUUUCUCAUUGUGCCCAGUCCAGAGUGAUUGAUUCUGAAGUGUAGAAUCUUGACAGAGUGUUCGGUCGUCCCAGGAGGCACCAGACCAUGGGGCCGAAACCGUCGAGGAGCCUUCACUUUCGCGCUCCCUCUUUUUUCACUUUUGACUUUCUCUCUCUCCCCAUCCUCCCACAUCUGCCUCCUCUCAUUCUCCGCAUCCAUCAGCCCUUCAAUGGAACCUGCUCUCCCUCCCUGCUAUUCCGACCCUCCUCUCUGAUGGGUUUAUUGAUAUGUAACACAGAUAUUUAUUGCUGGCUAAAAUGAGCCGCCAGCUUGCAGGUGGUCGGCAGGGAUUCCUUAUGUGGGUCAAUGAGACACAGACAUGCCUGGUGAUUUGCUUUGGGGGAAACCGCAGCUGCUGUUGGCUUAUACCUCUGAGCUGUGCCCUGUAUCAAACGCGCAUCCAUAGGACGAGGGAAGAAAACAGCAGACCUGUGAAAUGGAAAAGUCUCAGGGAACAUCACAGAUUUUCAAUAUUACUAAAUUAGAAUAUAGCUCAUGCUCACUCUCCACAGACAGGUCACAAUGUGUGUGUGUGUGUGUGUGUGUGUGUGUGUGUGUGUGUGUGUGUGUGUGUGUGUGUGUGUGUGUGUGUGUGUGUGUGUGUGUGUGUGUGUGUGUGUGUGUGUGUGUAUAGUGUCUGUAUGUUAGUGCAGAAAUUUUAAUAGGGAAAUGAAAAAGUAAAUCCAAACAUGCUGCCCACAAAUUUGUGACUUUUCAGUGUUUCAAACUAAAUAAAAAAAUUUCAUUUGUAACAAAGUUCGCAAAAAUGUCUUUCGAGUCGAUCUUUUUACAGUACACAAGUAUUUGGUAAAGCGUUCCCACCAUCUUGGAUCCCGGUGAACCGGUUCGAUUCAGCCGUCUCACGUCUCGUGUCUCCAACCUGCUGGUUGUCUACGAGUAACAACACAGACGCUGUGUUCGUCUCUGCUCCGCUAUUAGUGAUGUUGUGUCACCCACUCCUGGGGCUCCGGCUUUGUUUUCCCAUCAUGCCCUCGCUGCCUGCUGGUUGGUUUAAACAAGCACUAUUCUUCUUCUACAGCCUUUCAAUUAUACCAUGCCCCGCAGCAGCACCCCGCACCCUCCACGCACACCGAGACAGGAGUUAAGAGAGUAGGAGGAUUGAUUUGAAUUUGGCAUUUAAUGGAUGUCUUGGUUUUUCAAGAUUGCUUGGUUUGACCUUUUUACGUUUUCUUUUUUUUAAGAUUUUCUUUUUUUAUUUUUUAGGUGUGCCACACCUAAAAUUUUGAAGCUAAGCCCUGAAGGAAGACCUGAGGUCAAGUCAAGUGAGUUCUUCGGUGAGCGCCUUUGCUGUAGUGAAAAGAAAUCACUAAAGAGUUCACGCGUCAACAUUUCUUCACAGCAUUAGGAUCAUCCCCAAAUAGGCCACAGCAAGUUUUGCCUUUCCACGUCUUGUGGCUCAGAGUCCCACGGCAGCUAGACACGGGUCAAGUUCUCCUAUUGAAAGGGUGAGAUGGAGGCUGAAACCCUGCAACCACAAAAGCUCACUGUCUAGACAAGGCCCCACAGUCCUGACCCCUGUUGGACCCCGUCCCCUCAGGGGCCUAUAAUACCUUUGUUUCCAUGUUGAUAAAUUCUAUUUCCUGUCGGACAAGAACCACAACAAAUAGUGCGACAUCCAAACUUUAAAACUUGGACUACAGGCAUGUGAGUAGUACAGACUCCUACAGGCACAUGAAUGACUUGUUCACUUAUUGUUUGUUAAAAAAAUAAUCCACAUCUUGCACCUAAAUUAUUCGAAGGAAUUUGUUGCAGUAAGUGCUGAUGCUUGGAAAUAAAUAAUCCCGUGUUUUUAAGUUCUUCCUUAGCUUGCUUCCCUGCGGUUUCCUGAGUAUAUUUGUCUGAGCGACUUAUGUCUGGUGAUAUGUUGACAGAGGGUCCUCGGUUCCCAUAGACGCGCGUCUGGAUUUUGGGCCUGGGUGGCGCAGUCUAUUAUCAUCUAGUCAGGCAGCAUAAAUUAACACACAGCCCUAGACAAAGUACACAAGAGCAGGCCACUUCUCGCGGCCCACGAGGGACCAGGAUCCGCGGGCCUCGCGGUGUCCAUUUUAGCACACGGCCUGGACGUGGCUGGAUGUUAUGCUAAUCAGCUAGUGUUUGCACAUCCGCGUCUGCGACGCUCUCGGCGCCGACCGAUCGGACCGGGAGGAAGUCACGAAGGCGAGGAUUUAGCCGCAACAAGGAAAGGGGGAGAGCGUUGGGAAAGGAGCGAAGAUGCCGCGGCAACAAUAGUGCAUAAAGAAAUCAGCCAAAACAUGUCAUCAUUCAAAGCGAGUGGAGAUGAACUGUUAUUGCAUCAUCCGCAGUUAACAGUCUUCCCACACCGGCUGUCACACUCACUCACGCCACACAAUCACUUGUUUCACAGAGAGUUCCCAGACAGAAUUAAACCCACUUCAUAUUUAAUUCAAGACUAAAGCAAAAUAUAAUAAUAAAAGCCAUAACGUGAAAGGUAAUUAGAGGGAAUGUUCGGCGUAUUCAAGUCUUUUUUUUAAGUAAUUUCUCUUUAAUAACAGACUGUCAUGUGCGUUUUCUGUCAGCGAGUUCCAGGCGAGUGUCACCCAUUUCAAGACAUCAUGCGAGAAACUCCACUUCUUGUUCUUUGUCCUCCAUUUUCUGCCACUGUGCCAGCUCACAGCCUGGAGCUGAAAUGUAGCAGCACGGGUUCUCGCUCGCUCGCUCCCAUUGUUCCUAGCGACUGCUUGUCCUCCCCACUCCAUCUUCUGCCUCCCCACAGAGAGCCAUGAAGUGUCUGAGUCAUCCUCGAUUACAGUAUGUAUUUAUAGACAGAGGAGUCAGGACCUAGGCCUUGUGUGCAUGCGUGUGUGUGUGUGUGUGUGUGUGUGUGUGUGUGUGUGUGUGUGUGUGUGUGUGUGUGUGUGUGUGUGUGUGUGUGUGUGUGUGUGUGUGGAGGAAGGGGGAGGAUUCCAACUCUCACUGCCUGAAACUCCGAUGGCCCGGGCUCCUAUGACUCACCUCAGCUCCGGGAUGCUGCCACCAGGAGAGCUGACAUCACCUGUCCUCACACUGAAAGUUACCGCUCGCGGUGACCUCACUCUGACCGGGGAUCGGGAGGAAAAGUGCCGGAGACUGUCUGUCAGACAUGAGAAGAAAAUCUGAAAAUAUAAACGAAGAUUCAUCUUUGGAGCUCCAGGUGGAAACUGAGGAUAAAGCAAAACAAAAUGCCUGAAAAUAAAAGGCUUGAGUCUUUCAGUCUCAAGGGAGGAAUGAUCAAUACACAUUAACAGGCCAGUUGAUAAGACACGUAUUACAGGUCAGGAGUCAAAUGCUGGUCAAACACCCCUGACCCGGGGUCAAAGUCUUUAGCCUGAACAUGCCGCCACAGUGCAAUCGCAUAUGUGUCAAAUGUGGACUGAGAAAAGGCAGCACCUCCAACUGGAGAAGAAGAUUCACAAUCAAAUAAAGCAAGUGGAACUUUUAUUUAUUUUCAAGACAUGUUGUUUAUGAAUAAUCAGCAACAAUCAAUUUCACACUAUGUAUUAAUGCAGUAUUAAUGCAGUACAAUGUUUUUUUUUUCUUUACCAAUAAAUGUUUCAGUGCUUUCAAGGUACUAAUUUACUCUGAAGGUUAAAACGUAUUACAGUUUGUCAUUUUAAAGCGUGACGCUCACACACGCAUACACACACACACACACACACACACACACACACACACACACACACACACACACACACACACACACACACACACACACA